This is a ribosomal RNA of Capra hircus (goat), 118 nucleotides long. NCBI's taxonomy places the organism in Eukaryota, Metazoa, Chordata, Mammalia, Artiodactyla, Bovidae. The record is from Ensembl.
GUCUCCAGCCAUACUAUGCUGAACAUGCCUGAUCUUGUCUGAUCUUGGAAACUUCCAGAGUGAGGCCUGGUUAGUACUUGGGUGGGAUACCACCUGGGAAUACUGAGUGCUGUAGGCU